UACGUAGGGUGCGAGCGUUAAUCGGAAUUACUGGGCGUAAAGCGUGCGCAGGCGGUUUUGUAAGACAGAUGUGAAAUCCCCGGGCUUAACCUGGGAACUGCGUUUGUGACUGCAAGACUUGAGUGCAGCAGAGGGGGGUGGAAUUCCACGUGUAGCAGUGAAAUGCGUAGAGAUGUGGAGGAACACCGAUGGCGAAGGCAGCCCCCUGGGUUGACACUGACGCUCAUGCACGAAAGCGUGGGUAGCAAAC
Molecule: ribosomal RNA, 250 nt
Filed under: uncultured bacterium
Lineage: Bacteria
Description: partial 16S ribosomal RNA
Rfam family: Bacterial small subunit ribosomal RNA
Source: RNAcentral